Molecule: ribosomal RNA, 449 nt
Filed under: uncultured bacterium
Lineage: Bacteria
Description: partial 16S ribosomal RNA
Rfam family: Bacterial small subunit ribosomal RNA
Source: RNAcentral
GUGGGGAAUCUUGCGCAAUGGGCGAAAGCCUGACCCAGCCACGCCGCGUGAGUGAUGAAGGCCUUCGGGUUGUAAAGCUCUGUGGGGAGGGAAGAAAAAGCGGGAGAGUAACUGCUCUCGUGUUGACGGUACCUCCUUAGCAAGCACCGGCUAACUCUGUGCCAGCAGCCGCGGUAAUACAGAGGGUGCAAACGUUGCUCGGAAUUACUGGGCGUAAAGCGCGUGUAGGCUGACAUGCAAGUCGGGUGUGAAAUCCCAGGGCUCAACCUUGGAACUGCACUCGAAACUGCACGUCUUGAGUACUGGAGAGGGAAGCGGAAUUCCGGGUGUAGAGGUGAAAUUCGUAGAUAUCCGGAGGAACACCAGUGCGAAGGCGGCUUCCUGGACAGUAACUGACGCUGAGACGCGAAAGCGUGGGGAGCAAACAGGAUUAGAUACCCGUGUAGUCC